GUAGUGCUGCAUUGGGGUUCCUUGAUAGCCUACUUGAUAACAUUAGUUUUGAUUUUUAUGUUUUUCCUUUAAAUUUAAUUGCAUAAUUUAAAUAACAUAUUUUUGUUAGUUAAAUACGCCAUUAAACAUAAAAUUUAAAUUCACCUAAAACAUAAAAAAAAAUUACAUAAAAAUUUUAAAACACCUAAAACAUAAAAAAAAAAUUACAUAAAAAUUAAAAACACCUAAAACAUCAUAUUACGUCCUAGUCUAGACCACGACGCCUGAGCACAUCGGCGACCAUGGACGCGUGCAAUGCCCUUUGUGCCUCCGUCAUGUGCGUCGUAUCUGUGUUCAGGAGCUGCAUAUCGAGCUCCCUCUCCUUGAUAUCGUUCCUC
RNAcentral lists this long non-coding RNA (377 nucleotides) under Salvia miltiorrhiza (redroot sage). Its description in RNAcentral is "long non-coding RNA (SMIL_LNC003955)". The record is from RNAcentral. Lineage: Eukaryota; Viridiplantae; Streptophyta; Magnoliopsida; Lamiales; Lamiaceae.